AUACGGAGGGUGCAAGCGUUAUUCGGAAUCACUGGGCGUAAAGGACGCGUAGGCGGGUUGGCAAGUCAGAUGUGAAAUCCUACAGCUUAACUGUAGAACUGCAUUUGAAACUGCUAACCUAGAGUAUGGGAGGGGGAGAUGGAAUUAGUGGUGUAGGGGUAAAAUCCGUAGAUAUCACUAGGAAUACCGGAAGCGAAGGCGAUCUCCUGGAACAUAACUGACGCUAAGGCGUGAAAGCGUGGGGAGCAAACAGGAUUAGAUACCCUAGUAGUCC
This 274-nucleotide ribosomal RNA is filed under the name uncultured bacterium. RNAcentral's name for it is "partial 16S ribosomal RNA". It matches the Rfam family "Bacterial small subunit ribosomal RNA", at positions 523 to 796 of the family's 1533-position model. The record is from RNAcentral.